RNAcentral lists this long non-coding RNA (360 nucleotides) under Heterocephalus glaber (naked mole-rat). Its description in RNAcentral is "lncRNA (ENSHGLG00100039917.1)". Lineage: Eukaryota; Metazoa; Chordata; Mammalia; Rodentia; Bathyergidae. The record is from RNAcentral.
CUUCAAGCCCGCCUCCUUCAAGGUCCUAACUGUUCCUGCCUAGGCCUUUCAGUUCCAUGGAAGAGAUGUGUGAGGUGACCACCUGAUCCCCAGCAUGGUAUCUUUCUCAUUGCUCCCAUGUUCGUCUGUGCUCCACCUCAGCAGGAGCCUUAGCUGUGAGGCUCUGUGACUCAGGUGAGUGCUGCUCUGCUCCUGUGCCCAGUCCUGGACCAAAACCGCCUGGCUUUAGGAUUCUGGCCCAGGUGGUGCCCCAGGGAGCCUGAGCCUGGCUGGGAUCCUGCCUGAUGUCCAGCUGUCCAAUCUGAAAUGAAUGUAGAGGGCAACCUGCAGCCAUACAAUAAGCAGCAGAUAAAACUGUAG